RNAcentral lists this ribosomal RNA (504 nucleotides) under uncultured bacterium. RNAcentral's name for it is "bacterial SSU rRNA". It matches the Rfam family "Bacterial small subunit ribosomal RNA", at positions 29 to 511 of the family's 1533-position model. The record is from RNAcentral.
AACGAACGCUGGCGGCGUGGAUUAGGCAUGCAAGUCGAACGCGAAAGGGGAGCAAUCCCCGAGUAGAGUGGCGAACGGGUGAGUAACGCGUGAAGAAUCUGCCUUCAACAGGGGGAUAACACUCCCAACGGGGUGCUAAUACCGCAUGAGACCACGGGAUCGCAUGGUCCUGAGGUCAAAGGUGGCCUCUACUUGUAAGCUACCGGUUGAAGAUGACUUCGCGUCCCAUUAGCAGUUGGCGGUGUAAUGGACCACCAAGGCGACGAUGGGUAGCUGGUCUGAGAGGAUGGUCAGCCACACUGGGACUGAGAUACGGCCCAGACUCCUACGGGAGGCAGCAGUCGAGAGGCUUUGGCAAUGGGGAAACCCUGACCAAGCGACGCCGCGUGGGGGAUGAAGGCCCUUGGGUUGUAAACCCCUUUUGUCGGGAAAGAAAUGCGAUCAGGUGAACAAUCUGGUCGUUUGACGGUACCCGCGAAUAAGCUCCGGCUAACUCCGUGCCAG